AACGCUAGCUACAGGCUUAACACAUGCAAGUCGAGGGGAAACGAUAUUGGAAGCUUGCUUCCGAUAGGCGUCGACCGGCGCACGGGUGAGUAACGCGUAUCCAACCUGCCCAUCACUUGGGGAUAACCUUGCGAAAGUAAGACUAAUACCCAAUGACGUCUCUAGAAGACAUCUGAAAGAGAUUAAAGAUUUAUCGGUGAUGGAUGGGGAUGCGUCUGAUUAGCUUGUUGGCGGGGUAACGGCCCACCAAGGCGACGAUCAGUAGGGGUUCUGAGAGGAAGGUCCCCCACAUUGGAACUGAGACACGGUCCAAACUCCUACGGGAGGCAGCAGUGAGGAAUAUUGGUCAAUGGACGAGAGUCUGAACCAGCCAAGUAGCGUGCAGGAAGACGGCCCUAUGGGUUGUAAACUGCUUUUAUAAGGGAAUAAAGUGAGUCUCGUGAGACUUUUUGCAUGUACCUUAUGAAUAAGGACCGGCUAAUUCCGUGCCAGCAGCCGCGGUAAUACGGAAGGUCCGGGCGUUAUCCGGAUUUAUUGGGUUUAAAGGGAGCGUAGGCCGGAGAUUAAGCGUGUUGUGAAAUGUAGACGCUCAACGUCUGCACUGCAGCGCGAACUGGUUUCCUUGAGUACGCACAAAGUGGGCGGAAUUCGUGGUGUAGCGGUGAAAUGCUUAGAUAUCACGAAGAACUCCGAUUG
Molecule: ribosomal RNA, 696 nt
Filed under: uncultured bacterium
Lineage: Bacteria
Description: bacterial SSU rRNA
Rfam family: Bacterial small subunit ribosomal RNA
Source: RNAcentral